GCAGACGCCAAGCAUCAAUAGCGUGGUCUGUGCUAUGUGAUUGCAUUGUUACUGCUGGAGUGAGCAAUUUCAGAUUGCGUCAUGAUGGCGUGCCCCGUUAGCGUCGUGAUCGGCGUGCCCUGUUAGCGUCAUGGUUGGCGUGCCCUGUGUUAGCGUCAUGAUUGGCGUGCCCUGUGUUAACACGAUACGUUUUAUUUAUUCGUGUGCUGUGAUUUCAACACCAGCAUUGGUCAGAGGAGACUCGCAAGCAGCAAGGAAAGGAGGCUGCUCUUCAUCAGCCAGAAGUUUGAUACAAAGGAGUACACAAGUUGAUUUCAUUACUUAUGGGCAGCAAUUUUAUCGAGCCAUGACAUCUGAUUUCUGUUAUCCUACUUAUGGUGACCUGUCACUUGAUGAUAAGCCAAACCUAAGUUGCCUCUAGGAAUUAUGAAUGUCAAAUUUGGGACACAGCUGUGCAGUUUUUUUAUCGAGCUCUGACAUCUGAAGACCACCAUUAUUACCUGUUGACGGGACCAAGAAAAGGAAUUUUGCCGGUAUCAUCACAUAACUUCCGCCACAUACCAAGUAAUCUCCCUGUGGACUCCUUUGUCAAACUUCUAGAUGAUGAAGAGGAGCCUACUUUCCUUGCUGCUUGCGAGUCUCCUCUGACCAAUGCUGGAGUUGAAACAUGGACUACUUUAUAUUAAGGACUGGACUCAGUCCAAUCUCGCCGUGUUAAUGCCUGUCCGGGGAAGAAAGUCGACUUGACUCAUACGCCAUCUACCCGCCAAACGGCCUAAGUUUUUACUUAGUGUUGUGAGUGUGUUUGAAGGCUGGAAGUGAAGUUAAAUAUUGUAAACAAAGUGACUUAGACAUUCGCAAUUCCGUGUUUUUUUAAAUUAUAUGUUUCCAUUGGUCAUCAUUGUAUUGAUAUAUAAAUGUUGGUGGACGUGUAUUGGCAUUUGCUGCGAGAAGUGUCGAUUCGUGAAACUGAAAGCUGAAGAAUUACGGAAGUUUCUUUAUGUGCUGCAAUUGUGUAUGUAAUUCCAAACACACCUACGGUUAUUUAAAGGUAACCUAUUAGGUGACUGCAGUUGUAUUCCUUGACAGGAAUAUUCAAGAUCCGACAAUGGUAAUGCCAUAUUACCCCACGCAGGUGAACAAAGGAACAUUGUCAACCUCAUAGUGGGUUAGAGAUAAACA
Molecule: long non-coding RNA, 1182 nt
Organism: Daphnia magna
Lineage: Eukaryota; Metazoa; Arthropoda; Branchiopoda; Diplostraca; Daphniidae
Exons: 8
Source: RefSeq, a predicted model, not a curated record